UGUACAUAACCAUGGGAAUUAAGUUUCACUUUCAAUUCUUGUAAGUAGGCAGUAUUUUCCUCAUAUGACGUGGCUGGCUUAUGUACAGUCUGUGCUGGCUGGAGCAUAAAUACCUGUGCACUACAAGUUUGAGCAGGCGAUCUCCUUAUUGUCACUGCUGCAGUGGACAACAUCAAGAAGCUCCUACAACACCUUGAAGAAAAUAACACCAUUUGCAGCUAAAUCACUAUGGUAAUCUGAGGCAGUUCACCGUUGGAGAAAGAUCAAUUCAAUAUUCAUGAAUUUUCAGGGAGUUAUUUCGAUUUUCUGAUUUUGCUUAAACUAAUGUAAAAAAACAAAAACUCUUCAAGUGAAAACUAUAUAGUUGAUGAUGUAUUGAGUUACACUAAUGUUUAUAUGACUCUUCUCCUCUUCUUUUGAGUGUCUCUCACUCACCUCUGGCCGAAAGGGAGCGAACAGGCUGUAUGUUGCCUUAUAACAUACAAACCAAAACUGAUGGGUGAUGCCAUCGAUCUAAUCCGUGGGUCAGUGACGCGGCCCAUGGUCAAUGACAAUCAACGCUAGUCGUGGGUCAGUGACGCGGCCCAUGUCAACAACAAAUUAUGAAGAGACAGAUGGGUUUUCCCCUGCAGCAAAGGACAAUGUGGAUGGAGAUUUUACAGAUCUCAUCAAAAACUUCUACCAUCUGAACAUGUCUGGAGAUGAGAAGAUGGACUGGGCUGAUCAGGAAGUGGGAGUGACCUGCUGCCAGGAAGAGGAGCACAAUGAGGAAAUGGAAUGGAUCACCUCAAGAAAUCCCAGCUUCUGCAUCUGGAGAGAAAGAAAAGAUGAGGAAGACAGCCUUUAAAUGAAGACAGCCUUUUAAAAAUCUUCAUUAACUACCCAUCUGUUGGGUGGCUUGGUCAUCAAAACAUUGGCCUAGUUCACACUCCUGUUGUACAACGCAUCUCACACAUCAGCUGUGAUACAAUUUAAGGAUCCUUUCAAUGGGUUUGUCUGCAUGCAAACAAAUUGGCAAUAGUUGUGUAAAGAUCCGUUGUAUCACCACAGCGUGAACUAGGCCACUGUAGCCUAAAUAUGGCAUUGGUACACUCGAAGGGGUUUUGUAAAUACUGUACAGUAGGAUAUAUGGUUAUACAAUCUAGAUUGAUAUGUAAAUAUGUUGAGUAUCUAUUUUCUCACUCAUCUGUCAUUGUUCUGUGUUCUGAGGGCAAAAAGGGGAGGGGGGAUGACUAAAAUAUUUGGAAUGUGUCCCUAAUGUUUUGUACACAGUGUAUAUAUAUUACCCCACAACAUUCACUCUUCCCAUUAGUCCUUGGAUUUAUUUUUGUGUAGCUAAUUCUCCUCAAAAAAGUACAUCUGCUGUCUAUUUGUUUGUCAAUAUUCAUGUGUUUAGUGUCUUGUCUCCUUGUCAAAUGAGUGUCUGUCAAUUUAGUUGUAUAUCUGUAUCACAUGAAGUUAUCCUUCUAACAGGGAAAGGGUGGUGCCUAGUGGGGGCGGAGGGGUCAAAGAAAUCAACACAAACUAUGAAGUACUGUUAUUCAAUGAUGUGCAUAAAACGACUCAGACUGUAAAUUACA
Molecule: long non-coding RNA, 1580 nt
Organism: Oncorhynchus keta (chum salmon)
Lineage: Eukaryota; Metazoa; Chordata; Actinopteri; Salmoniformes; Salmonidae
Exons: 6
Source: RefSeq, a predicted model, not a curated record